Eumeta japonica is the source of this 93-nucleotide non-coding RNA. The record is from the annotation of a GenBank genome assembly. Lineage: Eukaryota; Metazoa; Arthropoda; Insecta; Lepidoptera; Psychidae.
AACUGAAUACACCAGUUCUCGUCUGAUCACCGAAGUUAAGUAGCUUCGGGAGCGGUCAGUACUUGGACGGGUGACCACUUAGGAACACCGUGU